UGAUGCAGCCAUGCCGCGUGUGUGAAGAAGGCCUUCGGGUUGUAAAGCACUUUCAGUAGGGAGGAAGGUAGUGUAGUUAACACCUGCACUAUUUGACGUUACCUACAGAAGAAGCACCGGCUAACUCCGUGCCAGCAGCCGCGGUAAUACGGAGGGUGCGAGCGUUAAUCGGAAUUACUGGGCGUAAAGCGCAUGCAGGCGGCCUGUUAAGUCAGAUGUGAAAGCCCGGGGCUUAACCUCGGAAUUGCAUUUGAAACUGGCAGGCUAGAGUCUUGUAGAGGGGGUAGAAUUUCAGGUGUAGCGGUGAAAAUGCGUAGAGAUCUGAAGGAAUACCAGUGGCGAAGGCGGCCCCCUGGACAAAGACUGACGCUCAGAUGCGAAAGCGUGGGGAGCAAACAGGAUUAGAUACCCUUGGG
Molecule: ribosomal RNA, 416 nt
Filed under: uncultured bacterium
Lineage: Bacteria
Description: bacterial SSU rRNA
Rfam family: Bacterial small subunit ribosomal RNA
Source: RNAcentral